GACUAGUGAAUUGUUUAUUUUGCAGAAAAGUGCGCAAAGGCACUAUAAUCGUCAAGACUUCUACUAUGUGGCUAACGAGAAGAGAGAAGGGCAUGAAAGAAAUACGUCAAGGCUUGAGCGUGAAGGAAAGAAGUAAUGUAGGGGAGCAAACUAAAAGAAGAGGAGGAUCUUCUUGGGAAGAAAGAAGAAAGGAGGAGGGCCAAAGUAAAAAAAGACAGAACAGAGGAGGGGAUCAAAAAUCCCUAGCGCAGCCGAUCCCCAUCAGGCCUGCAUCUCACCUCUCUCCCUCACCCCUCCUUCUCCACCACCGGCCGUCGCCGCGGCCAGGCCGGCGUGGCGGUGCGCCUGCUGCUCCUCCACUCAGCCACGAGCACCAUCCGCCGCACCAUCCAUCCAUCCCAGCCGCGCCGUGCCAUCCAUCCACCACUCCACCAGCGUCACUAGCUCCACUUCACCACCGCGCCUCACCAGCGCCCACCUCGCGCGCCCCUCCUGCCGCUUCCUCUCUGAACCCGCUGUUGCUGCUGCAUCUUCCUUCUUCCUCUCGACCUCCUGUUGCUCUUCUCCAAGCACCGCUGCUGCUCCUUCCUUGCAACCCCCCUGCUGUUGUUCAUCCUCUCCACCUCCUUGCGCCUCCCUGCCGGUACCCUUCUCUGCUCAAAACUGCUGCUGCUUGUGCACUCCAGCUUCUCCUUCUUCUCCUGCCUACUGCUGGUUCUUCUUCCCCACAUCACUUUUGCUGCUCCUCUUCUCUGCCUCGCUACUGUUCUUCUUACCUGAACCUCAAAAUUGCUGCUGUUCUCUUCUAAACAACAAAACUGCUGCUACUACUACCUCAACCUCCUAUUGCUUUCUUUCUUUCUCACUCUCUUUUAAAUUUCUGUAAGAUUGAGACGCAUGUGAUUUGUAUUAUUCAGAUUUGAUAAGUGUUAGUAAUCUACUGUUGUUCAGUUCAGACUUCCUGUGUGUGUUAAUUAGUUAAAAUUGUCACUUGUGUACUGCUUGUUGCAGAUUCUUGCUCAUUUUUGUUGUCUAUGUGUUAGCUCAUGCAUCUGAGAAUUAUAAAGACAUAUGUGUGUGUGGUUGAUGUGAAACAAUUAUAUAUAUGUCUCAUGUUUGUUAGUUAGUGGUUUGUAUAAAUUCAGAUUACUACUUGUGAUUUAAUUUUGUAUUGAAAUUGUUCUCUGUGGUAGUCAGUUGUGUGAUCAUUCAAUUUUCAGUCUAUGUAUUAGCUCUGUACCUGUAAUAUAUGUUGUGACAUGAAGCAUUUUCAUCCUUGUCCAUUAUCUUGUUUCUUCACUCUGUCAUACGCUUGUUAGAUAAAUAUAUGUGUUCAUGUCCUGUUGUUCCCUUUUGUGUUAGCAUUUUAGUUUCUCAAGUAACAGGAAAACACCAAAAAAGACAAUAUAGACAAUCUGAACCUCCCCUUUGCUUAUUUUACAUUUUCUUUGGCGACGAUCUUCGGGAACUACCUUGUUAGUUUAGGUUUAUUUUCUUGCAUUUAUAAUCUGAGUUCUGUCACCUAGCUUUAGCCGAGCAUUGUUGCUGUCGCCUAGUCCCUGUGGAGAACACGACACUCACAGUUCGGGUGAAAUAUCCCGCAGUACUUUCAAUCGAUCAUUUUGGCGCCGUUGCCGGGGACUAGCGUCGUGUGACCGUGUUAGGCUAUAGACUAGGUUUUGCUUCUGUUUCUAUCUGGUGCCAUAUAUUUGUGAUAUAUCUCUUACCCCUAACCACUGUUCUAGUUAUCUUCUCUUUCUUUUCUUGUUCAUUUUGUAGGUUGAAUUGUCUUCUCGGAUAUGGCUUACUAUUCAGAUCAUCAUGCUUAUGCGAGCAACACUACAAACAACACGGAAAGUAUUCAAGAACUGAUAAGUAAGAUUUCCCAUCAAUUAGAUGAUUUAGCUCAGCAGCGAGGAGUAGUUUUUGAGGAUAGGCCUAGUUCUUAUUAUCCUUAUUCCGGAAGCAAUCCUUAUGUUGCUCCUACAUGCCAUAUUUGUGGAUUUCAGGGCCAUUCGCCCGCUGAAUGUCAGCGUGGUUACUCUCACACUCCAGAUUGUUUUGGCAUGAGCUUCGCUCAAGAGCAUAGCUCAUACCAAAACAAUUACUCACAUGGGUGUCCUGAAAACCCGAAUAUGUCAUAUAGGAGCAACAACCCCGAGAUCUCACCGCUUGCUUCUAGUAAUCAUAUGCAGGGAUUUAGGUAUGAAGAGGAGAGCCACAGCUAUGCUCCACAACAGUCUUAUUCAGCUCCUAUUCAUAUACCUCAGCACGAGGAGAUGUUGCCAAUGGAGUUAAAUGGUCCUCCAUUUGGUCAACCAACACCUUCAACACAAGUGCCUACUCAAGAUGAGUUUGAUGACAUAGACAAGUUCACACUUUUGAGUCUUGAGUUCAGUUGGAGUGCCGAGGAUGAUCCUAUUAGGAAGGUUAUACUAGAUGAAAUGAAGAAGAUCAAGAGUGGGAAUGAGCUAGUGGAAGAAGUAAAGAAGAUUGAGAAGAACAUCAACGCUGGCAGCUCUAUUUCUUCACAGCUAGAGCUGAGUGUUGCUGAGAUUCCCCUUGAUACAUGUGAGGUUCCAACACCUUCACAUUUCGUUGAGCAAGUUAGCAAGUGCCUUGAGCAAGAGAUACCUCAGAUUGAAGAAGAUGAACUAGAAGACAAGGACCAAGAUGGUCAAGAGCUGCAAUUCCCAAGUGAUCAAGUUGAAGACUCAUCAUCUACUACUGAAGAACUACAAGAAGCUGCUGUAGAUAAAGAUGAAGAUCAUGAGAUUCAUUUGCCUAUUGUCAUACCAGAGCGUGAUGUGUCAGGUUUACUCAAUCCUCUUGAUGACAUGAUGCCUUGUGAUUUCUUUGCUACUACCUUGCUUUACAUGAUACUAUCACUUAAGAUUGAUUUGAAAACUCAUUUGCUUGGAUAUGAUGAUAUAUACCCUGUUAGUGGUAUUACUCUCAUUUGUGAUGAUCAUAGUUACUUUCCUCGUGCUAAUCCUAUGCUUAAUGAAACAUAUCACUCCCAUGCUAGUCUUGCACUUAAUGAUAAAUGUCAUCCUCGUGUGAGUAUUGACCAUGCUGAUUUCUGCCAUCCUAAACAUGUGCUUUAUAGUUAUGCUUAUAUAAUUGGAUAUUCCAUUGAUGACUUGGAGGGCAUCGACCGUAUCACUUGUAGUUGUUUGUGUGAGUCCUAUUUCAGGCUUUUGCUACUGCACUGUUUACUACAUGCUGACCAGGUUUGAGGUGACAUUCCUUGGGAUCCUGGUGGAGUCACAGCAUGGCGAUGAGGGGAGCACAAACAGGGAACACAAACAGAGAAGAGUGGAGAGAAGAAAGUAGGAGAGAAGAGUAUACAAAUACCAGGUGAUUCUGUUCCACUUGAAGCAACCUUUAGAAAAUUUAGUACGAGAACUGGCAUUUUAUUGCAUUGAAACGCUUUUUGCAUUGUGACACCUUACUCUUCACUGCAAAGUAGGAUUCACUCCAAGAAGAUUGUUGAUUCUCUUAAUACUAAAACUAUGCAGCAGUAUUCUUCUUAUGGUAAUUUGUGAUAAUGAAUACUUUAUACCUCCAUGUAAAUGUUCAAUGGGAAUGCCUUGAGUCUAAGUGAAACCUACUAAUGAAUUGAUGUGCUGUGUCUGACUGUCCCACGUUAAGCUAAGUAACUGGUGGCACUUAAGUAGUAGCUAUGAUCUCUGGAUCUGUAGUAUGUGAAAAACAGUGCCAUUAGUUAUGGAUUCCUCUUUCAAUUAUUCCUGUUUUACUUAAGCUAAGUAAUUUUCAAAUAACUAAAUAAAAUAAUUAUAAUAUUUUAAGUCCGAUCGACCUAUAGUAGCAUGUCAUGUUCCCUGGAUCGGUGGCUUGUGAAAUCUGGUAGAUUGGACUCUAAAAAAAAAUUAUAUAAAAAUGCUAUAAUUUGUCGAACCAGGUGUAUACCAUGUUCUCGGGAUCGGUGGUAUGUUCCUUUGGGGAGAUAACAAAAAAAUAUACUAAUAAUUUGGUCGAGCCAGGUGUAUACCAUGUUCUCGGGAUCGGUGGUAUGUUCCUUUGGUGAGACUGAUAUAAUAUCAUCACUUGUGCUUUAAAUUCAAUAAGUAACUUGUUUUUCUAAUUGAUUUUGGGGUCCCAGCUUAUCUCAGGGCUGAAGACAGAGCCAGCUCUUGAUUAUUAGUAUUCACUUUGACUCAAGGCCAUUGACUUGGAACAUUUACAGUGUGUUAUAAAAUAUUUCUUAUCACAAUUUAGCUUCAGUAGAGUACAUUUGCUUAGUUCCAGUAUUGUCGGAAUUACUAUCUAUCGGAAAGUGCAUAUUUACUAGGCAGUGUGAGUUGUGUCACCAUCAAAUUUUUUUUCCUUUGCUCGAGGACAAGCAAAGAUUUAAGUGUGGGGGAACUUGAUAAGCACAUUUCUUAUAUACUAUUUGGGCACACAAAUUCACCUUUUAUUGAGAUAUAUCCAUCCAUUCUUGCUAUGACUUGUUGAAUAUUUGAAUGAUAACCAUAAAAGAGAAUGUUGACUAGUGAAUUGUUUAUUUUGCAGAAAAGUGCGCAAAUGCACUAUAAUCGUCAAGACUUCUACUAUGUGGCUAACGAGAAGAGAGAAGGGCAUGAAAGAAAUACGUCAAGGCUUGAGCGUGAAGGAAAGAAGUAAUGUAGGGGAGCAAACUAAAAGAAGAGGAGGAUCUUCUUGGGAAGAAAGAAGAAAGGAGGAGGGCCAAAGUAAAAAAAGACAAAACAGAGGAGGGGAUCAAAAAUCCCUAGCGCAGCCGAUCCCCAUCAGGCCUCGCAUCUCACCUCUCUCCCUCACCCCUCCUUCUCCACCACCGGCCGUCGCCGCGGCCAGGCCGGCGUGGCGGUGCGCCUGCUGCUCCUCCACUCAGCCACGAGCACCAUCCGCCGCACCAUCCAUCCAUCCCAGCCGCGCCGCGCCAUCCAUCCACCACUCCACCAGCGUCACCAGCUCCACUUCACCACCGCGCCUCCACCAGCGCCCACCUCGCGCGCCCCUCCUGCCGCUUCCUCUCUGAACCUGCUAUUGCUGCUGCAUCUUCCUUCUUCCUCUUGACCUCCUGUUGCUCUUCUCCAAGCACCGCUGCUGCUCCUUCCUUGCAACCCCCCUGUUGUUGUUCAUCCUCUCCACCUCCUUGCGCCUCCCUGCCGGUACCCUUCUCUGCUGAAAACUGCUGCUGCUUGUGCGCUCCAGCUGCUCCUUCUUCUCCUGCCUACUGCUAGUUCUUCUUCCCCACAUCACUUUUGCUGCUCCUCUUCUCUGCCUCGCUACUGUUCUUCUUACCUGAACCUCAAAAUUGUUGCUGUUCUCUUCUAAACAACAAAACUGCUGCUACUACUACCUCAACCUCCUGUUGCUUUCUUUCUUUCUCACUCUCUUUGAAAUUUCUGUAAGAUUGAGACGCAUAUGAUUUGUAUUAUUCAGAUUUGAUAAGUGUUAGUAAUCUACUGUUGUUCAGUUCAGACUUCCUGUGUGUGUUAAUUAGUUAAAAUUGUCACUUCUGUACUGCUUGUUGCAGAUUCUUGAUCAUUUUUGUUAUCUAUGUGUUAGCUCAUGCAUCUGAGAAUUAUAAAGACUGUGUGGUUGAUGUGAAACAAUUAUAUAUAUGUCUCCUGUUUGUUAGUUAGUGGUUUGUAUAAAUUCGGAUUACUACUUGUGAUUUAAUUUUGUAUUGAAAUUGUUCUCUGUGGUAGUCAGUUGUGUGAUCAUUCAAUUUUCAGUCUAUGUAUUAGCUCUGUAC
This 5746-nucleotide long non-coding RNA is filed under the name Triticum aestivum (bread wheat). Its description in RNAcentral is "long non-coding RNA (TAES_LNC003365)". The record is from RNAcentral. Lineage: Eukaryota; Viridiplantae; Streptophyta; Magnoliopsida; Poales; Poaceae.